AAAGAUUUUUACCCCUAGAUAGGUAAAUAUCAACUUAAAAAAAUCUGUUCUCAUCAGUUUAAUAUCUGAUACGUCCCCUAUCUGGGGACCAUCUAUAAUAAAUGGAUUUUUCGAACAGGGAGAUUCAAAAAGAGCUUGCUCUGUCCACUCCACACAUUGACCUGGUAUUGCAGUACCUCCGGUGCACCCCUU
Small nuclear RNA from Bufo gargarizans (Asiatic toad), 192 nucleotides. RefSeq annotates it as U2 spliceosomal RNA. The transcript has a single exon. The record is from RefSeq and is a predicted model, not a curated record. Lineage: Eukaryota; Metazoa; Chordata; Amphibia; Anura; Bufonidae.